This 422-nucleotide ribosomal RNA is filed under the name Ruvettus pretiosus (oilfish). RNAcentral describes it as "partial 16S ribosomal RNA". It matches the Rfam family "Bacterial large subunit ribosomal RNA", at positions 1992 to 2563 of the family's 2925-position model. The record is from RNAcentral. Lineage: Eukaryota; Metazoa; Chordata; Actinopteri; Scombriformes; Gempylidae.
AUGAAUGGCAUAACGAGGGCUUAACUGUCUCCUUUUUCAAGUCAAUGAAAUUGAUCUCCCCGUGCAGAAGCGGGGAUACACCCAUAAGACGAGAAGACCCUAUGGAGCUUAAGACGCCAAGGCAUAUCAUGUUAAACACCCCUAAACAAAGGGCCAAACCAAGUGAUAACGUAUGCCCUAAUGUCUUUGGUUGGGGCGACCGCGGGGAAACAAAAAACCCCCACGUGGAAUGGGAGCACCCCUCCUACAACCAAGAGCUGCAGCUCUAAUAAACAGAAUUUCUGACCAAUAAGAUCCGGCAACGCCGAUCAACGGACCGAGUUACCCUAGGGAUAACAGCGCAAUCCCCUUUAAGAGCCCAUAUCGACAAGGGGGUUUACGACCUCGAUGUUGGAUCAGGACAUCCUAAUGGUGCAGCCGCU